RNAcentral lists this long non-coding RNA (1394 nucleotides) under Capra hircus (goat). RNAcentral's name for it is "lncRNA (ENSCHIG00010028198.1)". Lineage: Eukaryota; Metazoa; Chordata; Mammalia; Artiodactyla; Bovidae. The record is from RNAcentral.
UUCAAGUCUUCAUCCUAAACUCAACUCAGAUUACUCAUCCAUAUUCCCUCAUAUUUCAUUGUGGUCCUACGGCUUGUUUAUAGCAACAUAAUACAGGUAUCUGUGAUACAGGUCACUCCUGACAAAUGCUUUGAUAGUGUCCAUUGAAAAAAAUGUGCAUAAUAAAAGCUGACGAUUCUGUUUAAUUCGGCAAGCUGUAUGAAGACUUCAAGCCAAGGGCAGCCUCUCAGAUCUCAGGUACCACUCUGAACAGGUAAAAGAGGAGCCAGGAUAUAUGGGAGUUUUGCAACACAAAAACUAAUUGGAAUAUUAAAAAUUGCUAUUCAUUAAAAGAAGUUAAAUAUCUCAAGGAAUUUAAUAGUCUUUCAAUGUAUGGGAAGAUGCAAAAGCCUGGGCACGUUGGAAUCUUUCCUUUGAUAUGCACCUUAGCUAUCUAGGGCAAGUAUCCACCUUCGUAUCAUCCUGAGUUUCCUAGAUACACAGUUGGUGGGGUGUGGGAAAGGUGGCUUCUGUAGCUGAGACUUGAUGGAGGGCAUCCUUCUGCCAUCUUGAAUACCUUCCCGAGUGACUAUUGAGAGUGGAUGUGAUGUGAUCUCUGGAUGGCGGUUUACUAAUCUGGCAUUCACGACAGUCAGUAUACACAUUGGCACACGGCUGGCCCCCUGCUGUUGCAACCAGCGACGCUGCAGAUGGGGAAGCCCCCAUCAGUGUGCGUCCCCAGGAGGAGUCUCCAGUCAGAGUCCCAGACAACUUGGGAUGCUUGGCAUGCCUCCUAGCUUCAUCGAAUUACACAUAGCUGUGAUCCAGAUGGCCUAUGUCAUCAACAUCACCAUUGGAACACCCCCUCAAGAGUUCCGAGUCAUCAUUGACACCAGCUCGUCUGACUUGUGGGUUUCCUCCACCUACUGCUAAAGUCCCUCCUGCUGUAAACACUAGAGAUACAACCCUAAGGCGUCCAGCAGCUUCCAGUCUGGUGAUGGGAAACACAUCAACCUCCGUUAUGGAUGUGGAAGGAUAACGGGAGUUCUUGCCACUGACACUGUUCGGAUCAGGCAACUUAUUGCCGAGUCGCAGACAUUUGUCCUCAGCUUGAAUCACCUCAAUGGAGCCUUGGAACAUGCAUCUUAUGAUGGCAUCAUGGGCUUAGCCUACCCCAGCCUCACCAUCCAUAGGACCACCCCCAUCUUCGACAACCUGAAUAAAAAUGGAAUCAUUUCUGAGCCUGUCUUUGCCUUUUUCAUAAGCAGGUAAGUCUGAGCUGGACAAGUCCUCUCUCCAAAUUAACUGUAAGAUGCUUUCAAUUGCAUGAAAAAUUAAAGACUACCUCAUCCAGAAUAUUCCUGUCAGAUGGUCUAGCCUAGGAGAACUACUGCCCCAGGAUCACAUCUGGCCCC